UAUUGAACAAUAUAUGUAAUAUAUAUAAUAUCAAAUAUGAAAAGGAGUAGAAAUUAAAUAUUAAAAAUAGGUGUAAGUUUUCUGUAUUUAAAGGGGUUUUUUUUUUGUUUUUAUUUGGUCAGGGGUAGGGAGUUUUUUAGUUGUGGUCGGGCUUUUUUUGGGGCAUUUUGUAGGAUUGGGACUCUCCUUUUUGCCCCGGGAGCUCGAGGCUGGCCCGAGCCUGUGGCCUCUCCCGCAGGUGAGUGUGACACGGUAGAGAAGGGAGCCAGGCAGUGCUCUGGGACUUUGAAUCUACCCAACUGUUUUCCAAAUGUAUUUGCAGAGAUUCAGCUGUGGGGAAGCUGCAGAGAAGGCUGCCUGGCACAGCCCCCCAGAAUGGGCCUCCCCCGACUGGGCUCCCGCAGAGGAUGGGGCAGUUGCAGCCCCCUGUCAUUCCUGUGAGAUUUGGUAAGUCUGGGGAGGGGUUUCCUGACUGUCCCUGUCUCCAAGCGAGCCGUGCCUCGUUGUCCAGAAGCCCUGCCUGGGCAGCCCGGCCCGGCACAGCUCCAUUCCCUCUCCCGGGCUCACCGGAGGGAUGCAGAGCCACCAAAGUGCGGGUCAGGCUGGAAAGGGGACGGUGGGGCCUGCGGCCACAGCAGGGGGAAGGACAGGAGGCAAAGCCUCUCGACCAGCCCUGGGCCCAGCCUGCCCAGGAGAAGCUUCCGAGAGGCGCCGGGGCUCUCGUUUGCCCGGAAAGCUGCAGCCGUUGGGGCAGGUCUCGGGCUGUGACCCAGCCCCUGCAGCACUGCAGAGAAAAGGGGCACGUGAUGGCCCACGGGGUCGGCUGCAGUCCUUAAGAGCAGUGCCUGCUUUCACCACUGCCUUUUGCUGCCUGCAGAGAUCUGUGCUGAGGGUUGGCAGCUCCUGCUGGGGCAAGAGCUGCAUCUUCCAAGAGGCAAAGCUGCAGCAUCUUCCUCCCCAGGGACUGUCUCCAUGCAGGAAGCAGCACAGGGGACUGGCCGAAGGGCUCGGGCUGGGACACGGCCCCAACAGGAGCAGCCCUGGCACACUGACACGGGAGGAUGAGCCCAGGUGAGGAGCACGGGCCCAGCGUGGCACCAAGACAGGCAUCUCCUGUGGGUUAUGUGGGGCUGUGCUGUGCACCCUGGGGGUGCUGACUGACCCCCUUUGUGCCGAGACAGAGGAGAUGCUGCUGCACCACGUCCCCAGGAGAGCCCCUGCCUCCUUCUGCUCUCAGGGAUGGGACUGGGAGACGCCUCCACGCCGAGAGUGGCACUUGGCAUGGCUUCAGUCCCCAGUGGAAGAGGCUGGGCUCCCCGCUGCCCAGAGCUCCUGGUUAGGGACACCCACGCCUGCGCCUGGCUCAGAGUCCAGGGUGCACUCAGUCCGGAUCCAGCCUCGAGAUGUUCCUGCUGCAGCUGCAGGUGUUUCCCAGUCCAGCUUGCUGAACCUCCAGCUCUGACUGUGGCACAUUCUUCCUUCCAGCUCUGGCUCUGAGAUGCUGCACUUGAUGGCUGCUCCAGUUCCUUCCAGCUCUGGGUUGGUUUUUUCAAGCACCACUACAAGGAGAUGCUGGAGGGCACCAAGACCCCCGGGGUGCCCCAGGACUGAGUGGGAGGAGCCCAAAAAUUUUGGGCACCCCAUCCCCCCAAAAUAUUAAAUUGACA
Molecule: long non-coding RNA, 1667 nt
Organism: Oenanthe melanoleuca
Lineage: Eukaryota; Metazoa; Chordata; Aves; Passeriformes; Muscicapidae
Exons: 3
Source: RefSeq, a predicted model, not a curated record